GACAGAGGGGGCAAGCGUUGUUCGGAAUUACUGGGCGUAAAGGGCGCGUAGGCGGCCUUCUAAGUCGAACGUGAAAUCCCUGGGCUCAACCCAGGAACUGCGUCCGAUACUGGAAGGCUUGAAUCCGGGAGAGGGAUGCGGAAUUCCAGGUGUAGCGGUGAAAUGCGUAGAUAUCUGGAGGAAUACCGGUGGCGAAGGCGGCAUCCUGGACCAUUACUGACGCUGAGGCGCGAAAGCUAGGGGAGCAAACGGG
RNAcentral lists this ribosomal RNA (253 nucleotides) under uncultured bacterium. Its description in RNAcentral is "partial 16S ribosomal RNA". It matches the Rfam family "Bacterial small subunit ribosomal RNA", at positions 524 to 776 of the family's 1533-position model. The record is from RNAcentral.